GUACACUCCUACGGGAGGCAGCAGUGGGGAAUUUUGGACAAUGGGCGAAAGCCUGAUCCAGCAAUGCCGCGUGAGUGAAGAAGGCCUUCGGGUUGUAAAGCUCUUUUGUCAGGGAAGAAACGGUGAAAGCUAAUAUCUUUUGCUAAUGACGGUACCUGAAGAAUAAGCACCGGCUAACUACGUGCCAGCAGCCGCAGUAAUACGUAGGGUGCAAGCGUUAAUCGGAAUUACUGGGCGUAAAGCGUGCGCAGGCGGUUUUGUAAGUCUGAUGUGAAAUCCCCGGGCUCAACCUGGGAAUUGCAUUGGAGACUGCAAGGCUAGAAUCUGGCAGAGGGGGGUAGAAUUCCACGUGUAGCAGUGAAAUGCGUAGAUAUGUGGAGGAACACCGAUGGCGAAGGCAGCCCCCUGGGUCAAGAUUGACGCUCAUGCACGAAAGCGUGGGGAGCAAACAGGAUUAGAUACCCGAGUAGUCCCAUGAU
RNAcentral lists this ribosomal RNA (479 nucleotides) under uncultured organism. RNAcentral's name for it is "partial 16S ribosomal RNA". It matches the Rfam family "Bacterial small subunit ribosomal RNA", at positions 331 to 801 of the family's 1533-position model. The record is from RNAcentral.